RNAcentral lists this ribosomal RNA (494 nucleotides) under uncultured bacterium. RNAcentral's name for it is "partial 16S ribosomal RNA". It matches the Rfam family "Bacterial small subunit ribosomal RNA", at positions 28 to 507 of the family's 1533-position model. The record is from RNAcentral.
GACGAACGCUGGCGGCGUGCUUAACACAUGCAAGUCGAACGGAAAGGCCUGCUUUCCCUUGUGGAUUGCGGGUACUCGAGUGGCGAACGGGUGAGUAACACGUGAGUGAUCUGCCCCCAACUUGGGUAUAAGCCUGGGAAACUGGGUCUAAUUCCCGAUAGGACUGCAGGGUGGUGCCUGUGGUGGAAAACGAUUUUCUAGUGGUUGGGGAUGAGCUCGCGGCCUAUCAGCUUGUUGGUGGGGUAAUGGCCUACCAAGGCGGCGACGGGUAGCCGGCCUGGGAGGGUGGACGGCCACAUUGGGACUGAGAUACGGCCCAGACUCCUACGGGAGGCAGCAGUGGGGAAUAUUGCACAAUGGGCGGUAGCCUGAUGCAGCGACGCCGCGUGGGGGAUGACGGCCUUCGGGUUGUAAACUCCUUUCGACCGCGAGGAAGCCACCUGGUUGGAAGGGUGGUGACGGUAGUGGUAGAAGAAGCACCGGCUAACUACGUG